RNAcentral lists this long non-coding RNA (492 nucleotides) under Monodelphis domestica (gray short-tailed opossum). RNAcentral's name for it is "lncRNA (ENSMODG00000045011.1)". The record is from RNAcentral. Lineage: Eukaryota; Metazoa; Chordata; Mammalia; Didelphimorphia; Didelphidae.
AUGCAGAAAGGCGUUGGUUCGCAGCGAUCCAGUCCUUCCUAUGACCCCAAGGCUAUGAAUGUAGCCCUCGCAACAAUCUCCACGCCGAGUAUCUGGCUUCUUCUUCCGCGACUGCUUCCGGGUCACAAGUCGCUGAACUUCCUUGAUCGAAGGCGGUCCUAUCUGCCUCGCUGCUUGUGCCAGACCCUUGGGCUAAUACACCCCGGUUCAAGCCCGGCGGGUCCACCUGUACGGUUUGGGCGGUUCCUGUGUGCGAGCGUUCGUGCUACUCGGCUCUGGCUCCUUAGUGGGGGCGGUAGAAGGUCAAGCCGUUAUCUGGGAACCUGCGUUAAACACGUGAACCCCGGACCGACUCCAGGCAGGCAGACCUUAUUCCUGAAAGCAUGGAGUUGGAAGACAGGGUGGCUGAUGGGUUUCUAUUUCUUACAUUUCCACUGGGCACAGCCACUAGUGGACAGAAUUCAUUGGAGUAAUUCCAGCUACGGGACCUAG